UACGGAGGAUGCGAGCGUUAUCCGGAUUUAUUGGGUUUAAAGGGUGCGCAGGCGGAGCAAUAAGUCAGCGGUGAAAUCCCACAGCUUAACUGUGGGACUGCCAUUGAUACUGUUGUUCUUGAGUGUAGCUGAAGAGGGCGGAAUGUGUUGUGUAGCGGUGAAAUGCUUAGAUAUAACACAGAACACCGAUUGCGAAGGCAGCUCUCUAAAGUACAACUGACGCUCAGGCACGAAAGCGUGGGGAG
Molecule: ribosomal RNA, 245 nt
Filed under: uncultured bacterium
Lineage: Bacteria
Description: partial 16S ribosomal RNA
Rfam family: Bacterial small subunit ribosomal RNA
Source: RNAcentral